Molecule: unclassified non-coding RNA, 265 nt
Filed under: uncultured fungus
Lineage: Eukaryota; Fungi
Description: partial contains 5.8S ribosomal RNA, internal transcribed spacer 2, and large subunit ribosomal RNA
Rfam family: 5.8S ribosomal RNA (bases 1-52)
Source: RNAcentral
AACGCACAUUGCGCCCGCCGGUAUUCCGGCGGGCAUGCCUGUCCGAGCGUCAUUUCACCACUCAAGCCCAGCUUGGUGUUGGGGCACCCGGCCGCCCGGCGGUCGGGGCCCCCAAGAACAUCGGCGGUCCCGCCAGGACCCUGAACGCAGUAACUCGCGGUAAAACGCGCUUCGUUCGGAGGCUUCCCGGCGGGCUCCAGCCGCUAAAACCCCCUAAACUUCUUAGGUUGACCUCGGAUCAGGUAGGAAUACCCGCUGAACUUAA